Molecule: long non-coding RNA, 1471 nt
Organism: Canis lupus familiaris (dog)
Lineage: Eukaryota; Metazoa; Chordata; Mammalia; Carnivora; Canidae
Exons: 2
Source: RefSeq, a predicted model, not a curated record
ACAGAAGGAAUUCCAGGGUGGGCCUGAGCAGAAGGGCCUGCGGGGGGGGCAAGGGAGAGACGAGGCCGAUUCUCUGGCCGCCCGCGCCUGCCGUUGUGGUGGGCCCUGAACCCUCAGCCACUCCACUCUUACCAGGGCUGGGUGGGCUCUCGAGCAAGGAAGGCCGGCAGGGCUCUGGGCAGGAUCCGGACUUGGAAACGUCUGCAAAUAGUUUCCUGAGCUCAGAAAACAGUCUUGGGUGCGAAUCCCCUAGGGGCAGAGGGUUCCUACCUUGUAGGAUCUUUCCUGGAUGUACAGCUCUGGUGGGGAGUCCCUUCUGGAGAGGCCUGGGACAGGGCCCGGGCCCGGGACAGGGCAGGGAGAGUGCCAGGCCUUCCUGCCUCCCCGCGGGCAGGCCCUGCCCUCCACUUGCCUCUGCUCUCAGCUGGGGCAGUGAGGCCCGGGGCUUCAGCCGGUCCGUGGGCACAGUCCCCUGCUCUCUCUGGGCAGGUGCAUUCUCUGAUAAACCAGGCCCGUGGGGGCGUCCUGGGAAGGCCGUUGAAGCAGGAACAGCCCCUCGAAUGCAAACCGGCAGAUCACCUGUCACCAGGGCAUUCCGAGCAGAGCCUGGCACCCUUCCCGCUGACCCAGCACAGUCUGCAGCCCUGAAAAGAGAAACAAAAUGAGGUGUUCUAUUGCCUGCAAAGCUUUUGAGUUCCUUCUCUUGCUGGUGUCUUGUCCACACUCCUACUCGAAGACAGUGAUGGGGAGACAGCAUCUGCCCUGGGCUUUGGGGCAAAGCAACAGAAGGAGGGCACAGCAUCGGGUGGGGAGGACCAGCCGUAGGCUGGGUGGGAUCCAGAGCCCCAGUCUCUCAGCUACAACCGUCACUGGCACAGGGAGGGGCCUGGGUACACUCAUCCUCUUCCACCUGUGACAGACGUAGGUGGAAUAUUCCAGACCCAGACUCCCUGGAGCCGCCUCCUGUGAGCCUCUCCACCACAUGCCUGAGACGUUCACACUAAUAUCUCAAAGCUGGGGGUUCUGGUGGCACCUGCUCUGAAUCCAGGGACACUGGGCAUAGAAGGGGCUGUCUCCUCCCCGAGGCAAAACCCCCCGCUGCCCAGCCAGCCCAGGCCAGGCCGGAAGAUAUAGCCUGGCAGGGCCCACGAUGCCUCUCAGCCUCCAUGCAGCUUUCCCUGGGAGCUAAAAGGAACGGAGCUCACAGUUUGGUGGUGGAGACAGGCAGAUGUUGAGCAUGUGACAAAGCCGCGGGACAGACUCCCAGAGGAGCAGGGCAAGCGCAGAGGGAAGGCUUCCCACGGAGCCAGGGUCUGGGCAGGGAGAGGGAGACGCUCGGCUCACGCCCAAAUGUGAACGGGCACCGAAGACUCACCAGGACAAUUCCAUUUUAACGUCAUGUUUUGAAAACUCCAAAUUGAUGUAAAAAAAAAAAAAAAAUCCAUGGUGAAUAAAAUGUCAAAAAUUUAAA